AAGAGGUUGUUGGAUGAAAAACUAGCCACAUGGGUUGGCCACCCUUAAUAAAAACAGGUCAAGUAAACAAUAAAAUAGUGACAAAAGGAAAGGCUUGAAGAUGGGGUUCUCACUUCAAAUUCCAAUUCCACUUCAACAAAAAGAAACAAAAGAACUGAGUCAUGGCAAUGCUACCAGCUUAUGAUCUUUCAACACCAGUCUGCAAAAGGACAAACCCACAGAUUUUCAUUUUGGGGACAUAAAUAGAUAACAUCUAUGAAAAGAUCCAAUGUUUGUUCCAACAAACAUAUGACUACUAAUAAUAUGACGUUUCAU
RNAcentral lists this long non-coding RNA (315 nucleotides) under Gossypium raimondii (Peruvian cotton). Its description in RNAcentral is "long non-coding RNA (GRAI_LNC003437)". The record is from RNAcentral. Lineage: Eukaryota; Viridiplantae; Streptophyta; Magnoliopsida; Malvales; Malvaceae.